RNAcentral lists this ribosomal RNA (253 nucleotides) under uncultured bacterium. Its description in RNAcentral is "partial 16S ribosomal RNA". It matches the Rfam family "Bacterial small subunit ribosomal RNA", at positions 524 to 776 of the family's 1533-position model. The record is from RNAcentral.
UACGAAGGGGGCUAGCGUUGCUCGGAAUCACUGGGCGUAAAGCGCACGUAGGCGGAUCUUUAAGUCAGGGGUGAAAUCCCAAGGCUCAACCUUGGAACUGCCUUUGAUACUGGGGAUCUCGAGUCCGGAAGAGGUGAGUGGAACUGCGAGUGUAGAGGUGAAAUUCGUAGAUAUUCGCAAGAACACCAGUGGCGAAGGCGGCUCACUGGCCCGGUACUGACGCUGAGGUGCGAAAGCGUGGGGAGCAAACAGG